AGAGUUUGAUCCUGGCUCAGGAUGAACGCUGGCGGCGUGCUUAACACAUGCAAGUCGAACGAUGAUCCGGUGCUUGCGCCGGGGAUUAGUGGCGAACGGGUGAGUAACACGUGAGUAACCUGCCCUUGACUCUGGGAUAAGCCUGGGAAACUGGGUCUAAUACCGGAUAUGACUCCUCAUCGCAUGGUGGGGGGUGGAAAGCUUUUUGUGGUUUUGGAUGGACUCGCGGCCUAUCAGCUUGUUGGUGGGGUAAUGGCCUACCAAGGCGACGACGGGUAGCCGGCCUGAGAGGGUGACCGGCCACACUGGGACUGAGACACGGCCCAGACUCCUACGGGAGGCAGCAGUGGGGAAUAUUGCACAAUGGGCGAAAGCCUGAUGCAGCGACGCCGCGUGAGGGAUGACGGCCUUCGGGUUGUAAACCUCUUUCAGUAGGGAAGAAGCCCUCUUUGGGGGUGACGGUACUUGCAGAAGAAGCGCCGGCUAACUACGUGCCAGCAGCCGCGGUAAUACGUAGGGCGCAAGCGUUAUCCGGAAUUAUUGGGCGUAAAGAGCUCGUAGGCGGUUUGUCGCGUCUGCUGUGAAAGACCGGGGCUCAACUCCGGUUCUGCAGUGGGUACGGGCAGACUAGAGUGCAGUAGGGGAGACUGGAAUUCCUGGUGUAGCGGUGAAAUGCGCAGAUAU
This 684-nucleotide ribosomal RNA is filed under the name uncultured bacterium. Its description in RNAcentral is "bacterial SSU rRNA". It matches the Rfam family "Bacterial small subunit ribosomal RNA", at positions 8 to 697 of the family's 1533-position model. The record is from RNAcentral.